Molecule: ribosomal RNA, 515 nt
Filed under: bacterium A4T_VP6_C2
Lineage: Bacteria
Description: bacterial SSU rRNA
Rfam family: Bacterial small subunit ribosomal RNA
Source: RNAcentral
UAAUACGGGAGGCAGCAGUGGGGAAUAUUGCACAAUGGGCGCAAGCCUGAUGCAGCCAUGCCGCGUGUGUGAAGAAGGCCUUAGGGUUGUAAAGCACUUUCAGUAAGGAGGAAAGGUUAGUAGUUAAUACCUGCUAGCUGUGACGUUACUUACAGAAGAAGCACCGGCUAACUCCGUGCCAGCAGCCGCGGUAAUACGGAGGGUGCGAGCGUUAAUCGGAAUUACUGGGCGUAAAGCGUACGCAGGCGGUUUGUUAAGCGAGAUGUGAAAGCCCCGGGCUCAACCUGGGAACUGCAUUUCGAACUGGCAAACUAGAGUAUGAUAGAGGGUGGUAGAAUUUCAGGUGUAGCGGUGAAAUGCGUAGAGAUCUGAAGGAAUACCGAUGGCGAAGGCAGCCACCUGGGUCAAUACUGACGCUCAUGUACAAAAGCGUGGGGAGCAAACGGGAUUAGAUACCCCGGUAGUCCACGCCGUAAACGAUGUCUACUAGGAGCUGGGGUCUUCGGACAACUUUU